AACGCGAAGAACCUUACCUGGGCUUGACAUUUAGGGAAAAGCCGUAGAGAUACGGUGUCCUUCGGGGUCCUAAACAGGUGGUGCAUGGCUGUCGUCAGCUCGUGUCGUGAGAUGUUGGGUUAAGUCCCGCAACGAGCGCAACCCUUGUCCUAUGUUGCCAGCGGGUAAUGCCGGGGACUCGUAGGAGACUGCCGGGGUCAACUCGGAGGAAGGUGGGGAUGACGUCAAGUCAUCAUGCCCCUUACGUCCAGGGCUGCACACAUGCUACAAUGGCCGGUACAACGGGCUGCUAUCCCGCGAGGGGGAGCCAAUCCCAAAAGCCGGUCUCAGUUCGGAUUGGAGUCUGCAACUCGACUCCAUGAAGUCGGAGUCGCUAGUAAUCCCGGAUCAGCAACGCCGGGGUGAAUACGUUCCCGGGCCUUGUACACACCGCAUAC
RNAcentral lists this ribosomal RNA (437 nucleotides) under uncultured bacterium. RNAcentral describes it as "bacterial SSU rRNA". It matches the Rfam family "Bacterial small subunit ribosomal RNA", at positions 958 to 1397 of the family's 1533-position model. The record is from RNAcentral.